AAAAAAUAUUUGUACAUAUUAUAAAAAUUGUUUACUAAAAAAAAUUAAUAUAUUAUAAUAAUACAUAUUACUUGUACUUAAAUAUUAUAAUAAAUUACUUUUAUUAAAUAUAUAAUAAAUAAUUUUUAUUAAAUUAUAUUUUAUAUCAAAUUCAACUAUCACUUUUUUCAUUAUCCUCUAUUAUUCUAAAAUUAAUUAAACACAAUUUUAAUUAUUCUUGAAAUAGUAGCAUUACAAACUAAAUACAAUUUUACUCUUAUUCCUAAUUUUUCG
RNAcentral lists this long non-coding RNA (273 nucleotides) under Ananas comosus (pineapple). RNAcentral's name for it is "long non-coding RNA (ACOM_LNC025416)". The record is from RNAcentral. Lineage: Eukaryota; Viridiplantae; Streptophyta; Magnoliopsida; Poales; Bromeliaceae.